This is a long non-coding RNA of Gopherus flavomarginatus (Mexican gopher tortoise), 902 nucleotides long. RefSeq lists it as uncharacterized. The record is from RefSeq and is a predicted model, not a curated record. Lineage: Eukaryota; Metazoa; Chordata; Testudines; Testudinidae. The transcript has 3 exons.
GCCAACCUCAAACAUUCGGUUUCUGAUGAUGUAAUGAAGUAAAGUUGAUCUUUGGUAGUUUUAAUUUAUACAUUUCAAUUUUUUUUAAUCUUUUCUCCCCUAAAUUCAUAUCCAACACUGUGCUCAUUCUAGUGAGCAUCUCCAUCUUUUAAGUGAUCUACAAAGUGUGACAUCCCUUUUUAAAUAACGCUUGUUCUCAAAGCUUUGUACCGACCGUCCCACAACACCCCUGUGAGACAGAUCAAUUGUGUCAGUAAGUGACUUGCUCCAUGCUACACAGUGAGUCAGAGGCAGAACGAGGAUUAGCCUCCCAAGAGUUCCUGGUGUCUAAGUCUAUCUUCGAUUCAUUAGACCACACAGUCUCUUCAAAACGUAUCAUUCACGUGUAUGUAGCGCUUGAAAUUCGCAGCUAAUUCUAAAUCCUGUUUUCCAGCACUGAGCAUGGUGGGUUCCUCCACGUUCUUGUUGGAAUGCUAAGCAGAGGUGCUUAGUGAUUGCAUGAUCUAGCUGGGUGCAAACGCCUCUGGAAAUUAGAGCUGUGGCUGUGACACCCUCAGAGCAAUUGAAAUGUUUUACGACUGUAUGGUUGUCAUGCUUGACUACAGGCUGAACACUACGCUUCUCCGCCUGGAUGGAUGUAACAUACAAACCGCCAACACAGAAACACACAGGAAAAGGUAGAAGAACAGGAUUUAGAGAGAGACAUCAUCAAUGAGACGGCAAUAUGUGUUUAUUUAUGUUCCGCAUUUAAGAGCUUGUCUACACGGAGACUUUGAUUUAUACCCCAGCUUGCUGCACAUUAAGACCUAGUCUACAAUGAAAUCGAUCUAAGUUAUGCAACUUCAGCCUGAAUAACAUAACUGAAGUCGAUGUACUUAGAUCUACUUACCGUGGUGUUUUCC